GUGAGGAAUAUUGGUCAAUGGGCGGGAGCCUGAACCAGCCAAGUCGCGUGAAGGAAGAAGGAUCUAUGGUUCGUAAACUUCUUUUGCAGGGGAAUAAAGUGCAGGACGUGUCCUGUUUUGUAUGUACCCUGAGAAUAAGGAUCGGCUAACUCCGUGCCAGCAGCCGCGGUAAUACGGAGGAUCCGAGCGUUAUCCGGAUUUAUUGGGUUUAAAGGGUGCGUAGGUGGUUUGAUAAGUCAGCGGUGAAAGUUUGCAGCUUAACUGUAAAAAUGCCGUUGAAACUGUAGGACUUGAGUGUAAAUGAGGUAGGCGGAAUGCGUGGUGUAGCGGUGAAAUGCAUAGAUAUCACGCAGAACUCCGAUUGCGAAGGCAGCUUACUAAGCUACAACUGACACUGAAGAACGAAAGCGUGGGGAUCAAACAGGAUUAGAAACCCUGGUAGUCC
RNAcentral lists this ribosomal RNA (445 nucleotides) under uncultured bacterium. RNAcentral describes it as "partial 16S ribosomal RNA". It matches the Rfam family "Bacterial small subunit ribosomal RNA", at positions 354 to 796 of the family's 1533-position model. The record is from RNAcentral.